RNAcentral lists this ribosomal RNA (252 nucleotides) under uncultured bacterium. RNAcentral describes it as "partial 16S ribosomal RNA". It matches the Rfam family "Bacterial small subunit ribosomal RNA", at positions 525 to 776 of the family's 1533-position model. The record is from RNAcentral.
ACGAAGGGUGCAAGCGUUAAUCGGAAUUACUGGGCGUAAAGCGCGCGUAGGUGGUUUGUUAAGUUGAAUGUGAAAGCCCCGGGCUCAACCUGGGAACUGCAUCCAAAACUGGCAAGCUAGAGUAUGGCAGAGGGUGGUGGAAUUUCCUGUGUAGCGGUGAAAUGCGUAGAUAUAGGAAGGAACACCAGUGGCGAAGGCGACCACCUGGGCUAAUACUGACACUGAGGUGCGAAAGCGUGGGGAGCAAACAGG